Molecule: signal recognition particle RNA, 148 nt
Filed under: Gorilla gorilla gorilla (western lowland gorilla)
Lineage: Eukaryota; Metazoa; Chordata; Mammalia; Primates; Hominidae
Description: Metazoan signal recognition particle RNA
Rfam family: Metazoan signal recognition particle RNA
About the family: The signal recognition particle (SRP) is a universally conserved ribonucleoprotein. It is involved in the co-translational targeting of proteins to membranes. The eukaryotic SRP consists of a 300-nucleotide 7S RNA and six proteins: SRPs 72, 68, 54, 19, 14, and 9.
Source: Rfam by way of RNAcentral
GCUGGGCAUAGUGGUGUGUGCCUGUAAUCCCAGCUACUCAGGAGGCUGAGGCAGGAGGAUCGCUUGAACCCGGGAGGCAGAGGUUGCAGUGAGCUGAGACUGCACCACUGAACUCCAGCCUGGGUGACAGAGCAAGACUCUGUCUCAA